CCUACGGUGGGCAGCAGUGAGGAAUAUUGGUCAAUGGACGAGAGUCUGAACCAGCCAAGUAGCGUGAAGGAUGACUGCCCUAUGGGUUGUAAACUUCUUUUAUAUGGGAAUAAAAUGUUCCACGUGUGGGAUUUUGUAUGUACCAUAUGAAUAAAGAUCGGCUAACUCCGUGCCAGCAGCCGCGGUAAUACGGAGGAUCCGAGCGUUAUCCGGAUUUAUUGGGUUUAAAGGGAGCGUAGGUGGAUUGUUAAGUCAGUUGUGAAAGUUUGCGGCUCAACCGUAAAAGUGCAGUUGAAACUGGGAGUCUUGAGGACAGUAGAGGUGGGCGGAAUUCGUGGUGUAGCGGUGAAAUGCUUAGAUAUCACGAAGAACUCCGAUUGCGAAGGCAGCUCACUGGACUGCAACUGACACUGAGGCUCGAAAGUGUGGGUAUCAAACAGGAUUAGAUACCCUAGUAGUC
RNAcentral lists this ribosomal RNA (460 nucleotides) under uncultured bacterium. Its description in RNAcentral is "partial 16S ribosomal RNA". It matches the Rfam family "Bacterial small subunit ribosomal RNA", at positions 338 to 795 of the family's 1533-position model. The record is from RNAcentral.